This 460-nucleotide ribosomal RNA is filed under the name uncultured bacterium. RNAcentral's name for it is "partial 16S ribosomal RNA". It matches the Rfam family "Bacterial small subunit ribosomal RNA", at positions 338 to 795 of the family's 1533-position model. The record is from RNAcentral.
CCUACGGGUGGCAGCAGUGAGGAAUAUUGGUCAAUGGACGAGAGUCUGAACCAGCCAAGUAGCGUGAAGGAUGACUGCCCUAUGGGUUGUAAACUUCUUUUAUAUGGGAAUAAAACGUUCCACGUGUGGGAUUUUGUAUGUACCAUAUGAAUAAGGAUCGGCUAACUCCGUGCCAGCAGCCGCGGUAAUACGGAGGAUCCGAGCGUUAUCCGGAUUUAUUGGGGUUAAAGGGAGCGUAGGUGGAUUGUUAAGUCAGUUGUGAAAGUUUGCGGCUCAACCGUAAAAUUGCAGUUGAAACUGGCAGUCUUGAGUACAGUAGAGGUGGGCGGAAUGCGUGGUGUAGCGGUGAAAUGCUUAGAUAUCACGAAGAACUCCGAUUGCGAAGGCAGUUCACUGGACUGCAACUGACACUGAGGCUCGAAAGUGUGGGUAUCAAACAGGAUUAGAUAUCCCAGUAGUC